This 919-nucleotide long non-coding RNA is filed under the name Cyanistes caeruleus (blue tit). RNAcentral describes it as "lncRNA (ENSCCEG00000003833.1)". Lineage: Eukaryota; Metazoa; Chordata; Aves; Passeriformes; Paridae. The record is from RNAcentral.
GUGCCCCCAGGUGUGCCCAGGUGUCCCCAGGUGUGUUCCCAGGUGUCCCCAGGUGUGUUCCAGGUCCCCCCAGGUGUGUUUUUGCUGUCCCCAGGUGUCCCCAGGUGUGUUCCAGGUGUCCCCAGGUGUGUUCCAGGUGUCCCCAGGUGUGUUCCCAGGUGUCCCCAGGUGUGUCCCCAGCUGUCCCCAGGUGUCCCCAGGUGUGUCCCAGCUGUGUCCAGGUGUGUCCCAGGUGUCCCCAGGUGUCCCCAGGUGUCCCCAGCUGUCCCCAGGUGUCCCCAGGUGUCCCCAGCUGUCCCCAGGUGUCCCCAGGUGUCCCCAGGUGUCCCCAGGUGUGUCCCCAGGUGUGUCCCCAGCUGUCCCCAGGUGUCCCAGGUGUGUCCCCAGCUGUCCCCAGCUGUCCCCAGGUGUCCCAGGUGUGUCCCCAGCUGUCCCCAGGUGUCCCCAGCUGUGUCACCUGCCCAGGUGCGUUCCGCCCCACCCCCCUCACCUGAGCGCGGCUGUCCCGGCUCAGCUGAGCACAGCACACCUGGGGAGAGGGAAAGGACAGGUGAGGGGACAGGGGGGAAAAUCGGGGAAAAUCGGGAAAAAUUGGGAAAAAAUUGGGAAAAAUUGGAAAAAUCAGGAAAAUCAGGAAAAAAUUGGGAAAAAAUUGGGAAAAAUUUGGAAAAAUUGGGAAAAAUUGGGAAAAAUUUGGAAAAAUUGGGAAAAAUCAGGAAAAAAUUGGGAAAAAUUGGGAAAAUUGGUAAAAAUCAGGAAAAAUUGGGGAAAAAUUAGAAACAAUUGGGGAAAAAAUUGGAAAAAGUUGGGAAAAAUUGGGAAAAAUGAUGAAAAAUUAGGAAAAACCAGGAAAAAUCAGGAAAAAUUAGGAAAAAUCAGGAAAAAAUGAGAAAAAUUAGGGAAAAUUAGGGAAAAUUGG